This 117-nucleotide non-coding RNA is filed under the name Gorilla gorilla gorilla (western lowland gorilla). The record is from Rfam by way of RNAcentral. Lineage: Eukaryota; Metazoa; Chordata; Mammalia; Primates; Hominidae.
GCCGGGCAUGGUGGCUCAUGCCUGUAAUCCCAGCACCUUGGGAGGCCGAGGUGGGCGGAUCACCUGAGGUCAGGAGUUUGAGACCAGCCUGAGCAACAUGGAGAAACCCCAUCUCUA